UAACGGCGGAGGUGUUUGCGCGCCUAC
Molecule: non-coding RNA, 27 nt
Filed under: Bombyx mori (domestic silkworm)
Lineage: Eukaryota; Metazoa; Arthropoda; Insecta; Lepidoptera; Bombycidae
Source: RNAcentral